UUGCUAUCCAAAUUGAUUUCUUUUAUACAUUCUUUCGAUUAUCAGUGACCCAUACUUGCUUAAAUUCCAGAAAGAGGAAAAUAAGAUUCACUGUUUGUCUGCUCAUCCUCUUCCUCACUCUGUUUUGCGCAGUUCGUUCUUCUUUUUACGGCUGCGGGGUGAUUCAUUUUUCUUCUUCCUGUUGUUCUCCGUGUUGGCGCUGCUGAAACGUAAAAUUAUGAGUUUUGUUGAGAGGUGAGAUUUUCUUUUGGUCGAAUUUUAUGUUCGUUGUUGUGUGCUACUCUGCUAACAAGUUCGACUUGGUUCAUUUAAUUAGCUUUCUGUUUCAUCUUGAUAUAUCUUAUGGCUCUAAUUGGCUUAUUAGCUGACACAUAGCCAACUAUAUAUAUGAAUUAAGUUGUUAGUUAAAGCUGACAUAGGAUUCAUGGCAAUUCGAUACUAUAAAUGAAUUCAAGAUGAGGUGCAUUUUUUGGGGUUUAAUAUUUAAAAAGUGAUAACCAAUUGCUUGACAUAUUUUAUCGGAAUUGCUGGAGAUGGAUGCUGACUUAAAGGGGUGGCAGGAAAGGAAUUGGGAGUUGGUGAGGUUGGAAAUAUUUGAGACUGUGGCUGCUGAAAUGUUGAAAAGGUUGAGUUUUCUUUGUGUAGGCCACGACAAAUUUAUUUUAUUUAAUUUCGGUUAACGUUGGGAUAUAUGUUACCUGGAAGAAAAUUAUUAUCACAUGACAGAUUGGUCAGAUCAUUACAAAGAAACAAAUUUAACUUUUAGAAUACAAAAGUUAUCGUAGCUAACAAUGACCCUGAAAAAGAAGAAUAGUUUGCAAGGAGAUGCUUGUACGUGCCCCUAUGAUUACUUUGUAUCUGUCGAUUACAAACAAGCUGAAUAUUGUUGUUGCUGCAUUUUCUCUUGUUUCCAUUGUUUUCCCACAUUGGAGAGCUUCAAUUAAGCUGUCGAUAACACCAACAGACAUAAUCAGGAUCUUGGGAUUCUCGUGUAUCGAAAGGUUGAGCAAUGUUGUGACUGCUUUCUUCCGGAUUCUUGUAUCACGGGAACCAAGCAGAGUCAUCAGAAAUGGAAUAGCUCCAGACUCAGCUAUGAUUCUGCGAUUGUCCAUUCCAUUUUUCAUGAGCAAUCUUAGCUUAUAUGCUUCUGUAUAUCUGGAGAUCCUGUUUGCAGUUUGCCAACUAAAAACUUUGUUGUCAUUUUCACAACAUAUGUGGCAGCUUUAGUAGCAGAAAUGUAGUCAAUCGCCUUGUCACAUUUCUUAAUCUUACUAUUGCUGCUACCUUCUGAAUAUGAAGGAGAUAAUGUAGGUUCUAUUGUUGGGAUGUUGUUCUCUUGACCCCACUGAUGGAUUAGACUUUUUAGUGCGUAGUUGGGAAUGAGAGCCAUAUGUAUCAGCCACUGACCACUUUUUGGACAAGUGUGGUGCCCUGAUGAGCAAUUAAAUUUCGAUCAUAAGUAUGGCCUGAUGCUACUAUCACAUGGUCCCUCAUCAAGUCAAGUGAAGUUGGACAACAGGAUUCGUUAGGGAUGUCGAUUGUCGGCAACCACUUAAUAACACAAGGAGGAUUGACCAGCACGAGCACUCAUUAGUUCUGGCUGCUUCAAAGUUUGCUUAAUCAUAAGGUGUUCUUCUUCCAAAAUUGUUCCUUUAAAGUUUGUCUCUAGAUUGUGUGAACCAGCUUGAAAGUGCCAUUUUUUUUAACAAAUGAAUAAGACAUGCAUAUAAGAAUUAUAUUUUUUGUCUUUUAAUGAUUGAAUAUCAUAUUGUGUUCACUUAUAUGAUGUGCUUGUAUAUGUUUACCUUCAUUUUGGCUUAGAGAAUUCUAAACUUUGGUUCUUAAAGUGCAAAUGGAAAAUAUUAGAAGCAAGAUAGAAAGUAUUAGAAGAUGAAAUGUAGCUUUUUUUGAACACAAGCUGUUUAACUAUGCAACAACUUAUAUUAGGAGACAUUGCUUGUUAACUUCUCUUAUUGUGCAAAAGAUGUUUGGCUUGAGAACUUACUACAGAAACACAUGUUCACAACUUUAUCUGACAAAAAUGUAUCCAUCUUAAAUUGGCAAUUACAAUUUGACGAAAUGAUAAUCUUACACCUCCACCGGCCCCUUCCUUGGAAGGCUACUUGGCAUGUUAGUUCUACGAAGAUUCCAUGGUAUGCUCCUCUAUGAAUAAACAAUUUGUUCUCUUGGACUAACUUUUCCCCUCUUAGAACUGGAUUUCAUCAUUUGAAAUGAAUUGUCUUUGUGUUUCCCUUCAGCCAUCCUCAACUUGUAGGUACUCUACUCAAGCUCCCAAAGGACGAGGGGUGAAUGACUACCUUAAACAAUUCAUGUUUGCUCAUGGAAACUUAACCAGAAGUCCUUUAAAUUGAGCAAGUGUUAAUGUUGUUGAAGUUCAACAUCUUCUGCAGACUCUGAUAAGCUGCUGUUGCUCAUCUGCUGGAUUUUAUAUUUCUCUUUUCAGUUGGUAAAGGGUUAUUUUUGGCUUAGACGUGAGAUCAGAUUAGAUGAAACAUUAAAUUUGACUCCUGGCUGAAGAACUCACAAGAAUGUGAGAUUUAUGCUUGUAAGAGGCCAGCGUUAAUUGUUCUUUUGGAAACACACUGUCAAACACACCAAAGUGUGAAAGAAGAUUUUAAUUUUGAUGGUAUGAUUGAGGUGGCUGCAACACGCCAUUCAGGAGGAAUUGCCAUAUUGUGGUUGGCCAAUGUACUAGCUGUUGAUCCAGUAGCCACCACUGCACAAGAAAUUCACUGGGUCCUUGCUCCAACAACUGGAUAGUCCAUCGGUACAAGUUAUAUACAGAGAGCAGAAUUGUAUUGCAGAUAGAUUAGCUAAAUAUGGUGCAACGCAUGUACAUGAGCAAUGCCUACUUUUUGGAACACCCCCACUUUUUGCUAUGUCUUGUUAUGAACAAGAUCACCAGGGCACACUCCACAGCAGGGUGACUCGGCAGCCUAGUAGGAAUGUUGCACAGUCUCUCUCUGGCUCAUAUAGUUUAUCUAGUAUGUGUAAUAGAAGAACUUCUUUAGUAGCUAGUACUUCAAGUACUAGUCCUGUUUCCCAAGUAGUGGGAGACCAAGAGCCUAGCUCUAUCUUUGUACAACGGAUGCCUUGUAUGCAUCCAAGACUCUAAACUAAUGUAAAUGUUUGCUAUGUUAUAAUAUUGCCUAUCUUUCCAACCAAAAAAAAAAUAUUA
Nicotiana attenuata is the source of this 3199-nucleotide long non-coding RNA. RefSeq lists it as uncharacterized. The transcript has 5 exons. Lineage: Eukaryota; Viridiplantae; Streptophyta; Magnoliopsida; Solanales; Solanaceae. The record is from RefSeq and is a predicted model, not a curated record.